RNAcentral lists this ribosomal RNA (445 nucleotides) under uncultured bacterium. RNAcentral describes it as "bacterial SSU rRNA". It matches the Rfam family "Bacterial small subunit ribosomal RNA", at positions 338 to 795 of the family's 1533-position model. The record is from RNAcentral.
CCUACGGGCGGCAGCAGUGGGGAAUAUUGCACAAUGGGGGAAACCCUGAUGCAGCAACGCCGCGUGCAGGAUGAAGGCCUUCGGGUUGUAAACCUCUUUCAGUAGGGAAGAAGCGAAAGUGACGGUACCGUAAGAAUAAGCACCGGCUAACUACGUGCCAGCAGCCGCGGUAAUACGUAGGGUGCAAGCGUUAAUCGGAAUUACUGGGCGUAAAGCGUGCGCAGGCGGUUAUGUAAGACAGUUGUGAAAUCCCCGGGCUCAACCUGGGAACUGCAUCUGUGACUGCAUAGCUAGAGUACGGUAGAGGGGGAUGGAAUUCCGCGUGUAGCAGUGAAAUGCGUAGAUAUGCGGAGGAACACCGAUGGCGAAGGCAAUCCCCUGGACCUGUACUGAUGCUCAUGCACGAAAGCGUGGGGAGCAAACAGGAUUAGAUACCCUGGUAGUC